This 201-nucleotide ribosomal RNA is filed under the name uncultured bacterium. RNAcentral describes it as "partial 16S ribosomal RNA". It matches the Rfam family "Bacterial small subunit ribosomal RNA", at positions 1300 to 1500 of the family's 1533-position model. The record is from RNAcentral.
GUAGUCUGCAACCCGACUACAUGAAGCUGGAAUCGCUAGUAAUCGCGGAUCAGAAUGCCGCGGUGAAUACGUUCCCGGGUCUUGUACACACCGCCCGUCACACCAUGGGAGUCGGAAAUGCCCGAAGUCUGUGACCCAACCGCGAGGAGGGAGCAGCCGAAGGCAGGUCGGAUGACUGGGGUGAAGUCGUAACAAGGUAUC